RNAcentral lists this ribosomal RNA (448 nucleotides) under uncultured bacterium. RNAcentral describes it as "bacterial SSU rRNA". It matches the Rfam family "Bacterial small subunit ribosomal RNA", at positions 329 to 792 of the family's 1533-position model. The record is from RNAcentral.
UUCCAGACUCCUACGGGAGGCAGCAGUGGGGGAUAUUGCACAAUGGGGGAAACCCUGAUGCAGCGACGCCGCGUGGGCGAAGAAGUAUUUCGGUAUGUAAAGCCCUAUCAGCAGGGAAGAAGAAAUGACGGUACCUGAGUAAGAAGCACCGGCUAAAUACGUGCCAGCAGCCGCGGUAAUACGUAUGGUGCAAGCGUUAUCCGGAUUUACUGGGUGUAAGGGGAGCGCAGGCGGCACGGCAAGCCUGAUGUGAAAGCCCGCGGCCCAACCGCGGGACUGCAUUGGGAACUACCGGGCUGGAGUGCCGGAGAGGUAGGCGGAAUUCCUGGUGUAGCGGUGAAAUGCGUAGAUAUCAGGAGGAACACCGGCGGCGAAGGCGGCCUGCUGGACCGUGACUGACGUUGAGGCUCGAGAGCGUGGGGAGCAAACAGGAUUAGAUACCCUAGUA